This 1282-nucleotide long non-coding RNA is filed under the name Ficedula albicollis (Collared flycatcher). RNAcentral's name for it is "lncRNA (ENSFALG00000025440.1)". The record is from RNAcentral. Lineage: Eukaryota; Metazoa; Chordata; Aves; Passeriformes; Muscicapidae.
AUGAGCUCCAGGCUCGGGGAGCAGCCCCUAGUCGAUGUACCUCACUGUCACCAGCGGGCUGGCGAAGCGCACGUGGCGGCUGCGGCGCCGCUGGACGAGCCGUGUCCAGCAGCCCACCAGCAGCUCCCUCAGCGAGGAGCAGAGCUCCAGGAGCCCACAGCCCGUCCUGCUGGCCUCGGGCUCCCUGGCCUCGGGCAGCUGCUGCGGGGGCCUGGGCAGGGACAGGGAGCCCCGGCCCCGAGCAGCGGCCACGCUCCUGCCCAGCCCCAGAGAGCUGAUGCUGCCCCUGGGGGCCGUGGGGCCGAAGCCCUGCACUUCUCCGGGGGGCAGGAACCAGGCCAUGGCCCUGCAGCUGCUGCCGUGCUCCAGCUCCAGGAAGAUGCUGCUGCCUGCAGUCCCUGCCUUGCCGUGGGGCUUGGGGCCCAGUCUCUUGGCCUUGGCUUUGUCCUUCCUGCCCGCCUUCGGCCGCUGCUGGCCGCGGCCCUGCGGCCCCUCCUUGCCCCCCAGCAGCCCCACGGGCGCCUCAGGCUGGGCUGCCCUGCAGCCCUUCUGCAUCCACCGGGGCAGCUGUGCCUGCAGCUCCUUGCACUGCUCCUCCAAGAGCACCUGGGAGGUUGGGGUGAGCCUUGGGCGAAGGUCUUGGGGCACCCCAUGGUACCAUCCCUGGAGCUCCAGGUUACCAGUACAGGCCGGUGGAGAGGUUCCCCAGAGACCUGCAGGGUUCCAGUAAGGGGAAUCCAACCCUGGUGGGAUGGCAGAGGCCGAGGCUGUUGUCUGCCAAGACACUGCCAGACUGUUGUGCCCAGCACUAUCUGCUCCUGUGGGGCCCCUUUUAUAGCCUGGCAGAGUCCCCUGUGUGACAUCAUGGGGCAGCCAGACCCCUCUUUGUGACAGUGUGGGACAGUCAGAAAUCCCUUUGUGACAGCCAGGAGCCCAGGGGAGAGCCCUCCCUGCCUCGGGUGCAGGACUGUGAGAAAGAAACUUCUGAGAUAAUGGAAACAAGUUAGAAAAAAAUUGGAGGACAAAAUACAAACCAGAAAAGAGAAGUGUUGUGAUGGGGGAACUGUCGUGGGCACAGCGACCACCAAAGGAAAUGGAAACAAGUUAGAAAAAAAUUGGAGGACAAAAUACAAACCAGAAAAGAGAAGUGUUGUGAUGGGGGAACUGUCCUGGGCACAGCGACCACCAAAGGAAGAGUUUUGGAUUCCCAGGGAAGCAGGAGGGAGGCAGCUUGUUCUCACCCCCUGCCAUGGUCAGGGACACUUUCCACUAGUCCAGGUUA